RNAcentral lists this ribosomal RNA (443 nucleotides) under uncultured bacterium. Its description in RNAcentral is "partial 16S ribosomal RNA". It matches the Rfam family "Bacterial small subunit ribosomal RNA", at positions 338 to 795 of the family's 1533-position model. The record is from RNAcentral.
CCUACGGGAGGCAGCAGUGGGGAAUAUUGGGCAAUGGGCGCAAGCCUGACCCAGCAACGCCGCGUGAAGGAAGAAGGCUUUCGGGUUGUAAACUUCUUUUCUCAGGGACGAAGCAAGUGACGGUACCUGAGGAAUAAGCCACGGCUAACUACGUGCCAGCAGCCGCGGUAAUACGUAGGUGGCAAGCGUUAUCCGGAUUUACUGGGUGUAAAGGGCGUGUAGGCGGGGACGCAAGUCAGAUGUGAAAACCACGGGCUCAACCUGUAGCCUGCAUUUGAAACUGUGUUUCUUGAGUACUGUAGAGGCAGACGGAAUUCCUAGUGUAGCGGUGAAAUGCGUAGAUAUUAGGAGGAACACCAGUGGCGAAGGCGGUCUGCUGGACUGCAACUGACGCUGAGGCGCGAAAGCGUGGGGAGCAAACAGGAUUAGAUACCCUGGUAGUC